This 864-nucleotide ribosomal RNA is filed under the name uncultured Gammaproteobacteria bacterium. Its description in RNAcentral is "bacterial SSU rRNA". It matches the Rfam family "Bacterial small subunit ribosomal RNA", at positions 8 to 867 of the family's 1533-position model. The record is from RNAcentral. Lineage: Bacteria; Pseudomonadati; Pseudomonadota; Gammaproteobacteria.
AGGGUUUGAUCAUGGCUCAGAUUGAACGCUGGCGGCAGGCCUAACACAUGCAAGUCGAGCGGUAGAGAGGAGCUUGCUCCUCUUGAGAGCGGCGGACGGGUGAGUAAUGCCUAGGAAUCUGCCUGGUAGUGGGGGAUAACGUUCGGAAACGGACGCUAAUACCGCAUACGUCCUACGGGAGAAAGCAGGGGACCUUCGGGCCUUGCGCUAUCAGAUGAGCCUAGGUCGGAUUAGCUAGUUGGUGAGGUAAUGGCUCACCAAGGCGACGAUCCGUAACUGGUCUGAGAGGAUGAUCAGUCACACUGGAACUGAGACACGGUCCAGACUCCUACGGGAGGCAGCAGUGGGGAAUAUUGGACAAUGGGCGAAAGCCUGAUCCAGCCAUGCCGCGUGUGUGAAGAAGGUCUUCGGAUUGUAAAGCACUUUAAGUUGGGAGGAAGGGCAGUAAAUUAAUACUUUGCUGUUUUGACGUUACCGACAGAAUAAGCACCGGCUAACUCUGUGCCAGCAGCCGCGGUAAUACAGAGGGUGCAAGCGUUAAUCGGAAUUACUGGGCGUAAAGCGCGCGUAGGUGGUUUGUUAAGUUGGAUGUGAAAUCCCCGGGCUCAACCUGGGAACUGCAUUCAAAACUGACUGACUAGAGUAUGGUAGAGGGUGGUGGAAUUUCCUGUGUAGCGGUGAAAUGCGUAGAUAUAGGAAGGAACACCAGUGGCGAAGGCGACCACCUGGACUAAUACUGACACUGAGGUGCGAAAGCGUGGGGAGCAAACAGGAUUAGAUACCCUGGUAGUCCACGCCGUAAACGAUGUCAACUAGCCGUUGGAAGCCUUGAGCUUUUAGUGGCGCAGCUAACGCAUUAAGUUG